Lytechinus pictus (painted urchin) is the source of this 493-nucleotide long non-coding RNA. RefSeq lists it as uncharacterized. The transcript is spliced from 4 exons. Lineage: Eukaryota; Metazoa; Echinodermata; Echinoidea; Temnopleuroida; Toxopneustidae. The record is from RefSeq and is a predicted model, not a curated record.
CACAAAAUGGACGUACGAACACUCCGGUUAAGUUUGAAGAACAAGAAAAACAGUAGAGGUCUACCUAUAUGGUUCAAGAUGAUGAUCAUAAGUGCAUGCAUCAUUUUGCAGAUUCUCAUCCAGGAUGAUGCAGUUUUACAAUUUUCAUGGAGGUGAUUGAUGAUGAUAAAUAAUUGGUGAAGUAGGCCUAAUAGAACAGCGACUAGACCACAAAGAGAAAUACAACCUACAGCAGUUAUAUGAGCCAGGUGUAACAGAUGUUUUCAUUCAAGAAAUCCAACAAUUCAACAUUGAAGAGUCUGACUUAGGAACCACUUGAUGAAGAUGGAAAAUGUUUUUUUUUCCAAGUCCAAUUUUUCACAAAAAAAUAAUUAUUAUCACAACCCCAAAUUCAUGAAGUAUGAAAUUUCUUGUUGAUUUUCAUUAAAACUGGUUGCAAAAGGAGAAGCUAUAAACAUACAAAUAGGAGCGGCGGAGUGAAGUUGAAAGUGGG